UAUAAUGCAAGUCGAACGAACUCUGGUAUUGAUUGGUGCUUGCAUCAUGAUUUACAUUUGAGUGAGUGGCGAACUGGUGAGUAACACGUGGGAAACCUGCCCAGAAGCGGGGGAUAACACCUGGAAACAGAUGCUAAUACCGCAUAACAACUUGGACCGCAUGGUCCGAGUUUGAAAGAUGGCUUCGGCUAUCACUUUUGGAUGGUCCCGCGGCGUAUUAGCUAGAUGGUGGGGUAACGGCUCACCAUGGCAAUGAUACGUAGCCGACCUGAGAGGGUAAUCGGCCACAUUGGGACUGAGACACGGCCCAAACUCCUACGGGAGGCAGCAGUAGGGAAUCUUCCACAAUGGACGAAAGUCUGAUGGAGCAACGCCGCGUGAGUGAAGAAGGGUUUCGGCUCGUAAAACUCUGUUGUUAAAGAAGAACAUAUCUGAGAGUAACUGUUCAGGUAUUGACGGUAUUUAACCAGAAAGCCACGGCUAACUACGUGCCAGCAGCCGCGGUAAUACGUAGGUGGCAAGCGUUGUCCGGAUUUAUUGGGCGUAAAGCGAGCGCAGGCG
Molecule: ribosomal RNA, 561 nt
Filed under: Lactiplantibacillus pentosus
Lineage: Bacteria; Bacillati; Bacillota; Bacilli; Lactobacillales; Lactobacillaceae
Description: bacterial SSU rRNA
Rfam family: Bacterial small subunit ribosomal RNA
Source: RNAcentral